Molecule: long non-coding RNA, 1074 nt
Filed under: Struthio camelus australis
Lineage: Eukaryota; Metazoa; Chordata; Aves; Struthioniformes; Struthionidae
Description: lncRNA (ENSSCUG00000017933.1)
Source: RNAcentral
ACAUUUAUCUUUAAUCUGGUAGCAUAACAUACUGUGAUUCUGCUGCCAUGCUGUUUUUAUUCUAUAAGCUUUUCCUUAGUUUGAAGUAAAGAACAUAAAAUAUUUGAAAAUAUUUGCGAGUCUGACAGGUAAUGAAAAUUCUGUCCCUUAAAAAAAAAAAAAGGGAACACUGGAUUUUUUUCCAUUUUCAGCAUGGUUUCUUUCCUUGAUCGGACUGGCUUUGAGGCGUGCGCAAUUCCUAACCUGGCAGUGGUUCUGGUUUGCUAUCAGCCUCAUAGAACAAUAUCGAGGGUUUAUUUGCUAAAAAGGUGAAGUCGUUUCCUUUUUCUUUUUCUUCCCUCACACCCUUGUAUAUACAAAAGCUUGUUACCCAUAGAUGGUAAGAAGUAUCCGUAAAAUGUAAAAUACCAAGUGCCUUUGAUUCACUGGAAAUGUAAAUGACAAACGUUAAUUUCUACUAGUAUUACUCUGUAAUAUGCUGUAAACUACAGAAUGACUUCUAGAUUUAGUUCUUCACACCAGAAAGAAUAACCUUCACUUUCAUAGGUGGAAGAUGGCUAUUUUAUGAACAACAGCUGCUGGUAAAUACAUGGGGAAAACAACAGAUAAAACAUCACUGUUGGCUGAAGGAAAUGCUGCCAAGGGAACAGUUGUUAUAAACAGAAGAAAGAGAGGGCUACAGAGCGCUGAUUUUUUGCAACGUGAACGAGAGAAGAGUAUCAGACAAGAUGACGUCAUGCGUUUCAAAAGCUUGUAGGUGCCUUCUUGAUUCGCAAACAUAGUGUGGCUAUAUGAGACAAUCCUCAUGUUACCCAGAGAUGUGUUUCAAAGCAUCAACUGAACCAAAAAUACGGAGUAUAUUAUUCCACCCUGUAUAGCAGUUGUGAAGACGCUGUUUUCAGUUGUGAGUACACUGUUUAACUAAGAAUGAAAUCCUGAAGAAAGCAUGUCCAGUAGUGAGACCUGUGUUUUUGAACUGGAAGAGAUGUGUAUAAAAUCUUUCAUUGUAAAAUAUAUUAAAAAACAAGUAUGAAAAACAAUAAAACUCUGCAGGAAUUGUUACUGUAGGGUGAC